RNAcentral lists this ribosomal RNA (207 nucleotides) under uncultured delta proteobacterium. Its description in RNAcentral is "partial 16S ribosomal RNA". It matches the Rfam family "Bacterial small subunit ribosomal RNA", at positions 568 to 774 of the family's 1533-position model. The record is from RNAcentral. Lineage: Bacteria; Deltaproteobacteria.
CGUGUAGGCUGCUUCGCAAGUCGGAUGUGAAAGCCCUGGGCUCAACCCAGGAAGUGCAUUCGAAACUGCAAAGCUGGAGUCCUGGAGAGGAAGGCGGAAUUCUCGGUGUAGAGGUGAAAUUCGUAGAUAUCGAGAGGAACACCGGUGGCGAAGGCGGCCUUCUGGACAGUGACUGACGCUGAGACGCGAAAGCGUGGGGAGCAAACA